GAUGAACGCUGGCGGCGUGCCUAAUACAUGCAAGUCGAGCGAACAGACGAGGAGCUUGCUCCUCUGACGUUAGCGGCGGACGGGUGAGUAACACGUGGAUAACCUACCUAUAAGACUGGGAUAACUUCGGGAAACCGGAGCUAAUACCGGAUAACAUGUUGAACCGCAUGGUUCAACAGUGAAAGACGGUCUUGCUGUCACUUAUAGAUGGAUCCGCGCCGCAUUAGCUAGUUGGUAAGGUAACGGCUUACCAAGGCAACGAUGCGUAGCCGACCUGAGAGGGUGAUCGGCCACACUGGAACUGAAACACGGUCCAGACUCCUACGGGAGGCAGCAGUAGGGAAUCUUCCGCAAUGGGCGAAAGCCUGACGGAGCAACGCCGCGUGAGUGAAGAAGGUCUUCGGAUCGUAAAACUCUGUUAUUAGGGAAGAACAAAUGUGUAAGUAACUGUGCACGUCUUGACGGUACCUAAUCAGAAAGCCACGGCUAACUACGUG
Molecule: ribosomal RNA, 497 nt
Filed under: uncultured bacterium
Lineage: Bacteria
Description: partial 16S ribosomal RNA
Rfam family: Bacterial small subunit ribosomal RNA
Source: RNAcentral